CCGUGCGCACCUGCUGCGGGGAGAUGAAGUGGAUGUGGGUGUCGAGCCCGCCCGCGGUGACGAUGAGCCCUUCGCCGGCGAUCGCCUCAGUGCCGGAGCCGACUUCGAGGCCGGGGGUGACGCCGUCCAUGGUCUGCGGAUUGCCGGCUUUGCCGAUGGCGCUGAUCUUGCCGUUCUUCAGGCCGAUGUCCGCCUUGUAGAUCCCCGUGUAGUCGACGAUGAGCGCGUUGGUGAUGACCGUGUCCGGCGACUCGGCGUCGAGCUGGACGGAGGACUGCCCCAUGCCGUCGCGG
This is a small RNA of Bifidobacterium scardovii, 293 nucleotides long. It matches the Rfam family "5' ureB small RNA". The record is from Rfam. NCBI's taxonomy places the organism in Bacteria, Bacillati, Actinomycetota, Actinomycetes, Bifidobacteriales, Bifidobacteriaceae.